This 862-nucleotide ribosomal RNA is filed under the name uncultured organism. RNAcentral describes it as "bacterial SSU rRNA". It matches the Rfam family "Bacterial small subunit ribosomal RNA", at positions 545 to 1411 of the family's 1533-position model. The record is from RNAcentral.
CCGGAAUACCUGGGCGUAAAGAGUCAGUAGCAUGAAAUAUAAGUCUGUUUUCAAAUACCGCGGCUCAACUGCGGACAGGGAAUAGAUACUGUAUAUCUUGAGAUUGUUAGGGGUUAGUGGGAUUUCCGGUGGAACGGUGAAAUGCGUUGAUAUCGGAAGGAACGCCAAAAGCGAAAGCAGCUAACUAUAACAAAUCUGACGGUCAGAGACGAAAGCUUGGGUAGCAAAUGGGAUUAGAUACCCCGGUAGUCCAAGCUGUAAAUUUUGCUUGCUAGGUGUUUUGACCCGCUCUGCGGGUUGGAGUGCCGUAAUCUAACGAGUUAAGCAAGCCGCCUGGGUAGUAUAUUCGCAAGAAUGAAACUCAAAGGGAUAGGCGGGGGAACACACAAGCAGUGGAUUGUCUCGAUUAAUUGGAUAUUAAGCCAAAAAUCUGACCUAGACUUGACAUGUACUGUGUCCAAUGCGAAAGUAUUGUAGUCCGGUUUCGGCCGGACACGGUAUACAGGUGGUGCAUGGUCGUCGUCAGCUCGUGCCGCAAGGUGUCCAGUUAAGUCUGGGAACGAGCGCAACCCUCACUCUAUGUUAGAAUGUCAUAGAGGACUGCCCCGGUAACGGGGAGGAAGGAGAGGAUGACGUCAGAUCCUCAUGCCCCUUACGUUUAGGGCUUCAUAGACAAUACAAUGGGUAGUACAGCGGGAAGCGAAAUCGCGAGAUGGAGCAAAUCCUACAAAGCUAUCCCUAGUUCGGAUUGUAGUCUGGAAUUCGACUACAUGAAGUCGGAAUUGCUAGUAAUGGCAGGUCAGCAUACUGCCGUGAAUAUGUCCCUGUUCCUUGCACUCACCGCCCGUCAAACCAUGGGAGU